Molecule: ribosomal RNA, 412 nt
Filed under: uncultured bacterium
Lineage: Bacteria
Description: bacterial SSU rRNA
Rfam family: Bacterial small subunit ribosomal RNA
Source: RNAcentral
AGUGGCGGACGGGUGAGUAACGCGUGAGGAACCUGCCCUUCAGUGGGGAACAACAACUAGAAAUGGUUGCUAAUACCGCAUAAUGUCGGAUUGACCGCAUGACAGACCGACCAAAGGAUUUAUUCGCUGAAGGAUGGCCUCGCGUCCGAUUAGAUAGUUGGUGAGGUAACGGCCCACCCAAGUCUACGAUCGGUAGCCGAACUGAGAGGUUGAUCGGCCACAUUGGGACUGAGACACGGCCCAGACUCCUACGGGAGGCAGCAGUGGGGAAUAUUGGGCAAUGGGCGAAAGCCCUGACCCAGCAACGCCGCGUGAAGGAUGACGGUCUUCGGAUUGUAAACUUCUUUAAUUGGGGAAGAAUAAAUGACCUACCCAAAGAAUAAGUCACGGCUAACUACGUGCCAGCCGCUGC